CCCAGUCUACGUGAUACCCUCAAGAGGCAAUUACACUGUAGAGAGAGGGGGGACGCUGGACUUGGAGUCAGAAGACUUGAG
This 81-nucleotide microRNA precursor is filed under the name Jaculus jaculus (lesser Egyptian jerboa). Its description in RNAcentral is "miRNA (ENSJJAG00000007057.1)". Lineage: Eukaryota; Metazoa; Chordata; Mammalia; Rodentia; Dipodidae. The record is from RNAcentral.